This 253-nucleotide ribosomal RNA is filed under the name uncultured bacterium. RNAcentral's name for it is "partial 16S ribosomal RNA". It matches the Rfam family "Bacterial small subunit ribosomal RNA", at positions 524 to 776 of the family's 1533-position model. The record is from RNAcentral.
UACGUAGGGGGCAAGCGUUGUCCGGAUUUACUGGGCGUAAAGAGCGUGUAGGCGGCCAUGCAGGUCCGUUGUGAAAACUGGAGGCUUAACCUCCAGACGUCGACGGAAACCGCGUGGCUAGAGUCCGGAAGAGGAAAGUGGAAUUCCUGGUGUAGCGGUGAAAUGCGCAGAUAUCAGGAAGAACACCAAUGGCGAAAGCAGCUUUCUGGGACGGUACUGACGCUGAGACGCGAAAGCGUGGGGAGCGAACAGG